UUUUGCCUUCUGCCUUUGGCCGUGCCGGUUAUGCAAGUGGCUUGGGGAAGCCGCGCAAAUUGCAGCAGGAAGAAAUCAUCGGCCGGCUCUGCUGGGAACGGCUGGAAUCGGCCCUGCCGGGGAGCCCGGCCGCGGCAGGUAGGGCCGGAGCGGAGCCGUGCUGCAGGAUGAGCGCUGAUAAGAUGCCGGGUCCUGCUCCCACGGCCUCGGGAGACGGAAGCGCUGCGCCGUGAAGCUAUGGAAACGGCGCGGCUCCGAGCGAGCGGUAAUUGGGCCACUUCUGCUGGCGGCACAGAGCGCAGGCAGCUUUAUCACGGGGAUGGCAUCUUGUGCUCGCUCUCCAGACGGCCAAAGGAGAAACCAGGACUAGAGCUCCCUGCUGACAUCCAUCGCUGUGCGCUCUCCCCCGUGCCUUCUCCCCUCGCUGCCUGUGGAGGUGCCGGAGUUGGGGGUGGCCCCUCUGCAUGGAGGGCAGCUCGUCCCAGCCCGUGCCAUUUCCAAGCCCGGAGCCGGAGGCGGAGGCGGCUUUGGGUGCGGGGAGGAAGCUCCGGGUGACUGUGACUCACUGCGGCGCAAGAUUAAUUGCCAGGCGUUGCAGGAGGUUUAUCACUGCCACCCUCGGCUCGCUGGACCGCACCUCUCGCUGCAGCUCCGUGUGCCCGGGGAGCAGUGGGGGUGCUGGGCAGGGAGCACGGUCCCCAUCGGUCACCUUGGGGCCGGGGCGGUCCUUGCUCCUUCCUCGAGCUGUGCCGCAGCCCCUCGCAGCAGGGCCCGCUGUGGGAAGCACUCCCCGGGGCUCGUCCCUGUGUCUGUGGGGACUGUGUGUCCCACAUCCAGAGCUGCGAGGUCCCUCAGCAGCACCGAGUUCUGCAGCUGUGAUGAACCGAAUCUUUUGCAUAAUCAAUAAUUAAUGUCUGGGCUUUCCAAGCAGUUAAUUAAUCUCUUGGUGAAGGGAAAACAAUUUUUAGAAUCAGUGUGGGUGUUUCUCAGCCAGGUGAGAUGGAUGCCACCCUCCAUCCAGGCUCUUCUUCCAUCCCCUGUCCUUCCCAGCCAUCCCCGGAGAGCUCCUUGCUACAAGUGAUGCUAUUCAUUGCCAGGGAGAGGACCAUAUUGAUCAUAAAUAUUUGCCUAAUGAGAUCA
Molecule: RNA transcript, 1140 nt
Organism: Coturnix japonica (Japanese quail)
Lineage: Eukaryota; Metazoa; Chordata; Aves; Galliformes; Phasianidae
Source: RefSeq, a predicted model, not a curated record